Molecule: ribosomal RNA, 503 nt
Filed under: uncultured bacterium
Lineage: Bacteria
Description: bacterial SSU rRNA
Rfam family: Bacterial small subunit ribosomal RNA
Source: RNAcentral
UCAGGAUGAACGCUAGCGACAGGCUUAACACAUGCAAGUCGAGGGGCAGCAUAAAAGUAGCAAUACGUUGGUGGCGACCGGCGCACGGGUGAGUAACGCGUAUGCAACCUACCUAUCGAGAGGGGAAUAACCCGGCGAAAGUCGGACUAAUACCGCAUAAAACAGGGGCACCGCAUGGUGAUAUUUGUUAAAGAAAUUCGCUGAUAGAUGGGCAUGCGUUCCAUUAGGUAGUUGGUGAGGUAACGGCUCACCAAGCCGACGAUGGAUAGGGGAACUGAGAGGUUGGUCCCCCACACUGGUACUGAGACACGGACCAGACUCCUACGGGAGGCAGCAGUGAGGAAUAUUGGUCAAUGGGCGAGAGCCUGAACCAGCCAAGUCGCGUGAAGGAAGAAGGAUCUAUGGUUCGUAAACUUCUUUUGCAGGGGAAUAAAGUGCAGGACGUGUCCUGUUUUGUAUGUACCCUGAGAAUAAGGAUCGGCUAACUCCGUGCCAGCCGCCGC